This is a long non-coding RNA of Esox lucius (northern pike), 2653 nucleotides long. NCBI's taxonomy places the organism in Eukaryota, Metazoa, Chordata, Actinopteri, Esociformes, Esocidae. The record is from Ensembl.
CCCAUUUUUAGAGCUGAUCCUGUCUGUGGCAUAACUAUGACUGAGUGAACAAAAACGCUUUGUGUACUUCUCCCAGGCUAUUGUGGCGCUGGACAGACAUAUUAUGGGAUUACUAUUAGGGAGCUAGCUUGCUCCUUUGAUGGAGAGCUUACCUGGAGGAUAAAUAUGGUCAACGACUCGCUUUUUAGGCCCACAUCAGCCUGUGUAUUCCUCCAUAGCUUGAAAACAGUUCCUCUAUUUAUUUAAGCCGUUUCACGCUGCAUUGUUCUAAGCCUUGGGCUAAGGUGGCAUGUGUGCAAAGCCUCUUGAGUUCUCCGGAGCUUUAUCACAAUUUCUUUGAGACUGGCAACGCAGGAUGACCGGGAACAAAAUAAACAAGAGAAAAUCCCCGGGAAGGCGCUACGAGCGGAGCCUGGCUUCCUCAACGGCUGGGGUUCACAGUAGUUUGUCAAAGUUUUCUGAGGUUGUGAUCAGUCACGAUGGUCGUUUGCUGUGGUGUUGGUGGAUGGCCAGACAGCGCUGCAUUUUACAUUGUGUUGGUGUCUCCCUGCAGCCCUGACCGGUCGAGGCAUGGACUCCACUAAACUUCUGAAGGUGUGCUGUGGGAUCUGGCACCAAGACGUUAGCAGCAGAUCCUUUAACUCCUGUAAGUUGCGAGGUAGGGCCUCCAUGGAUCGGACCUGUUUGUCGAUUGGAUUGAGAUCUGGGGAAUUUGGAUGCCAAGUCAACACUGCCUCUGCCAGUUUGCAUUCUUCCCAUAGUGCAUCCUGGUACCAUGUGUUCUCCAGGUAAGUGAUGCACACAAACCCGGCCAUCCAUGUGAUGUAAAAGGAAACGUGAUUCAUCAGACCAGGCCACCUUCUUCCGUUGCUCCGUGGUCCAGUUCUGAUGCUCACGUGCCCAUUGUAGGCGCUUUCGGCAGUGGACAGGGGUCAGCAAGGGCACUCUGACUGGUCUGUGGCUAUGCAGCCCCAUACGCAACAAACUGCGAUGCACUGUGUGUUCUGACACCUUUCUAUCAGUACCAGCAUUUACUUUUUCAGCUAGUAGUACUGGUCUAACUGGUCCAAGUCUAGUAGUACUGGUCUAACUGGUCCAGAUCAAGUAGUACUGGUCUAAUUGGUCCAGGUCUAGUAGUACUGGUCUAACUGGUCCAGGCCACGUAGUACUGGUCUAACUGGUCCAGGUCUAGUAGUACUGGUCUAACUGGUCCAGGUCAAGUAGUACUGGUCACAAUGGUCCAUGACUAGUAGUACUGGUCUAACUGGUCCAGGCCAAGUAGUACUGGUCUAACUGGUCCAGGUCUAAUAGUACUGGUCUAACUGGUCCAGGUCAAGUAGUACUGGUCACACUGGUCCAUGACUAGUAGUACUGGUCUAACUGGUCCAGGUCAAGUAGUACUGGUCUAACUGGUCCAGGCCAAGUAGUACUGGUCUAACUGGUCCAGGUCAAGUAGUACUGGUCACACAGGUCCAUGACUAGUAGUACUGGUCUAACUGGUCCAGUCUCUGCUUUAGGCCAUGUGCUGUGAAGCACUGCAGGUCAUCUGCGUAGAGCAUUUAACCUCUGAAUAUUACAGACUGACACCAGAGGAUUUUCCGAAUAUGUUGGCCAAUUCAUUUGAAUUAAUAUUGAAUAGCACAAGACUGAAUUAAUGUAACCCUGGGCGAAAGGAGUCGUCUUGCCAAUUGAAAUGCAGCACAUGUUGCUAUUAUUCAUUGAUUUAAUUAUGUAAUGUUUUACACCACUUUUAUUGACUUUGUAGCAUCAUCCAGAGUGCCAAGUAGAAUCAAACACUUUUUGGAAGUUAGUAAAGCAAGCAGUUAUUUUUGGCUUAUUAUGGUGGUCCAUACAGUAGAAAUAUGAUCAUUUGUGUUUUGGUUAAAAUCCUGUUUGGUUUCACUUCAACACAUUCUGAUUAUUGAGAACUCUUGAGUUUAUAAUGCUACAGAGAUCUACAGAGAUCUUCAGCUUCUGUUCACACAAAUGCUUCAAGUAAUGGUUUUUCUAAUUUGUCUCAAUUCUUAAAAAUUGGCAUAUGAGUCCAGUGAGUCUUGUAAAAUAACAAAUUGACAUUUUGCAUGGUGAAUAUGAGCAUCUCAUUUGCGUAUAUCUUUUGUUUUAAAUUUUUUAUUUGCGAACCUGGUAUUGUUCAUGAAUCUCCUGCACAGUAAUUCAGAAGUCCAAUGGAUUUUGAUUGCUCUUUGUGGAAUUGUUCAAUCCAUUCAACUUCAGCAUUCAGCAUUGUUCUGCCUUUGCUUCAAUUUGAAGAGUAUUUAAAUGGGUUGUCCCCUCGUCAUUCUUCUGUAUCGCUCAUUCCUCCUUUGAGUGUGUUGUAUUUCCGGAUUCACCAGAAUGUCUUUGUGUUUAGAGACUUCUCAAUAAGAGUCAGUUGCUCUCUGUUGUAUUGUUCUGUCUUAGUUCUUGAGUGCAGAGUUUUGAAGUUACACACUAUUGUGUAAUUCACCAUCACCUCUCUCUCCCUCUGUGCAUGCUGGGAUUUUGAGUUUGAGCUGGGUGAGGAGUGGAUGCUGGUGGUAGGGUGCCAGCCCUAUCUCUCUGAUCACCUACACAUACACAAUGGUCACCAGUACACACCUACACAUACACAAUGGUCACCAGUACACACCUACACAUACACAAUGGUCACCAG